This 809-nucleotide long non-coding RNA is filed under the name Homo sapiens (human). RNAcentral describes it as "HSALNT0066673". The record is from RNAcentral. Lineage: Eukaryota; Metazoa; Chordata; Mammalia; Primates; Hominidae.
UCCUGUUGAAACACAAACAAAAUAACAAUCGUCCAUUAAGACACCCAACUCAAGCACCAGUGUUUCAUUUGUAAGGGGAGAAGGUGGAGACCCCACUAGGCUCCAAACCGGAAAGGGCACUUUCCAGUUCCUGCCCAGCUAUGCCACCAAAUUCACUGUGUCACCUUGGAUAAGUCAUUUCCCUUCUCUGGGUCAUUUCCAAGUCUGGAAAAUGAAUGGACUUAUUUCUAAGACGCUGUACCCUCCUGCACUUUGGCUGUUUCUGGAGUAAGUAGCUGAGGGAGAGGCGAAACUUCAAAAACGACUUCAAUGAUGUUGCCUCCCUGGGGGUCCCUCAGGCCUGGCCUAAUUAUACGGCCUCGGGCACACCAGCAGCCCCUCUCGCCGGCCCCCAGCAGUGCUGAUCGCUCGGGGAGAUAAGGCACGACUCCAAACUGCGUCCGGAUGCGGGCCGCGGGCCCCGGCUGCCGCGCGCAUUAGCCUCUCAAUGGAGCCCUUCCGGGGCCCCGGCCCCCCGCCGUCUCCAGCAGCAUCCGGAGCGGGAAAGGCGCCGAACUGGAAGGGGGUGGGGGUGCUCUUCGGUCAACACGAGAGCCCUCUCCAAGCGCAGAAGCGCGACUCCGGAGGCUCGCCCCUCCUCGCGCCCCGUCCCACCCCACGCGUUUCUGGAAUGGGGACCCUGGGGUUUCGUUGGACCCCCUCGUCGUCACCACCGUCCCGGGAAACCUGUCAUUAAAGUCAAUUAACUUUUCCCACACCCGUUGGCCGGUAACAACCCGCUCCUAGCUUCCUCCCCGGCUCCUAAGUGC